AGUGAACGCUGGCGGUAGGCCUAACACAUGCAAGUCGAACGGCAGCACAGUAAGAGCUUGCUCUUACGGGUGGCGAGUGGCGGACGGGUGAGGAAUACAUCGGAAUCUACUUUUUCGUGGGGGAUAACGUAGGGAAACUUACGCUAAUACCGCAUACGACCUACGGGUGAAAGCAGGGGAUCUUCGGACCUUGCGCGAUUGAAUGAGCCGAUGUCGGAUUAGCUAGUUGGCGGGGUAAAGGCCCACCAAGGCGACGAUCCGUAGCUGGUCUGAGAGGAUGAUCAGCCACACUGGACCUGGGACACGGUCCAGACUCCUACGGGAGGCAGCAGUGGGGAAUAUUGGACAAUGGGGGAAAGCCUGAUCCAGCCAUACCGGGGGGGUGAAGAAGGCUUUCGGGUGGUAAAGCCUUUUUGUUGGGAAAGAAAAGCAGCAGGUUAAUACCCCGCUGUUCUGACGGUACCCAAAGAAUAAACACCGGCUAACUUCGU
RNAcentral lists this ribosomal RNA (491 nucleotides) under uncultured bacterium. Its description in RNAcentral is "partial 16S ribosomal RNA". It matches the Rfam family "Bacterial small subunit ribosomal RNA", at positions 29 to 506 of the family's 1533-position model. The record is from RNAcentral.